RNAcentral lists this ribosomal RNA (1402 nucleotides) under Spongiactinospora rosea. Its description in RNAcentral is "bacterial LSU rRNA". It matches the Rfam family "Bacterial large subunit ribosomal RNA", at positions 1557 to 2925 of the family's 2925-position model. Lineage: Bacteria; Bacillati; Actinomycetota; Actinomycetes; Streptosporangiales; Streptosporangiaceae. The record is from RNAcentral.
UGAGGUGUGAUGCCGAGCCGAUUGUGGCGAAGUGGAUGAUCCUAUGCUGCCGAGAAAAGCCUCUAGUGAGUGUGGCGGCGGCCCGUACCCUAAACCGACUCAGGUGGUCAGGUAGAGAAUACCGAGGCGAUCGGGUGAACUGUGGUUAAGGAACUCGGCAAAUUGCCCCCGUAACUUCGGGAGAAGGGGGGCCCUUGCUGGUGACCGGCCUGCGCGGCCGGGUGCUGGUGGGGGUCGCAGUGGCCAGGGGGAAGCGACUGUUUAUUAAAAACACAGGUCUGUGCGAAGUCGUAAGACGAUGUAUACGGACUGACGCCUGCCCGGUGCCGGAACGUUAAGGGGACCGCUUAGUGACUCUUUUGGGGUUGCGAAGGUGAGAACUUAAGCGCCGGUAAACGGCGGUGGUAACUAUAACCAUCCUAAGGUAGCGAAAUUCCUUGUCGGGUAAGUUCCGACCUGCACGAAUGGCGUAACGACUUCCCCGCUGUCUCAACCACAGGCCCGGCGAAAUUGCAUUACGAGUAAAGAUGCUCGUUACGCGCAGCAGGACGGAAAGACCCCGGGACCUUCACUAUAGCUUGACAUUGGUGUUUGGGGCGGCUUGUGUAGGAUAGGUGGGAGGCUGUGAAGCGGUCACGCUAGUGGUCGUGGAGCCGUUGGUGAAAUACCACUCUGGUCGUUUUGGAUGUCUAACCCGCGCCCGUGGAUCCGGGUGGGGGACAGUGUCUGGUGGGUAGUUUAACUGGGGCGGUUGCCUCCUAAAGGGUAACGGAGGCGCCCAAAGGUUCCCUCAGCCUGGUUGGUCAUCAGGUGGUGAGUGUAAGUGCACAAGGGGGCUUGACUGUGAGACCGACGGGUCGAGCAGGAGCGAAAGCUGGGACUAGUGAUCCGGCAUCUCUGUGUGGUUGGGGUGUCGCUCAACGGCUAAAAGGUACCCCGGGGAUAACAGGCUGAUCUUCCCCAAGAGUCCAUAUCGACGGGAUGGUUUGGCACCUCGAUGUCGGCUCGUCGCAUCCUGGGGCUGGAGUAGGUCCCAAGGGUUGGGCUGUUCGCCCAUUAAAGCGGUACGCGAGCUGGGUUUAGAACGUCGCGAGACAGUUCGGUCCCUAUCCGCUGCGCGCGUAGGAGACUUGAAGGGGGCUGUCCCUAGUACGAGAGGACCGGGACGGACGAACCUCUGGUGUGCCAGUUGUAUCGCCAGGUGCAUGGCUGGUUGGCUACGUUCGGGAAGGAUAACCGCUGAAGGCAUCUAAGCGGGAAGCUUGCCUUGAGAUGAGGUCUCCCUCCCACUUUGGUGGGGUAAGGCUCCCGGUGGAUGACCGGGUUGAUAGGCUGGUGGUGGAAGCGUUGUGAGGCGUGGAGCUGACUGGUACUAAUAGGCCGAGGACUUGACCACAACAAA